GACGAACGCUGGCGGCGUGCUUAACACAUGCAAGUCGAACGGAAAGGCCCUGCUUGCAGGGUACUCGAGUGGCGAACGGGUGAGUAACACGUGGGUGAUCUGCCCUGCACUUCGGGAUAAGCCUGGGAAACUGGGUCUAAUACCGGAUAGGAGCCAUUUUUAGUGUGAUGGUUGGAAAGUUUUUUCGGUGUAGGAUGAGCUCGCGGCCUAUCAGCUUGUUGGUGGGGUAAUGGCCUACCAAGGCGGCGACGGGUAGCCGGCCUGAGAGGGUGGACGGCCACAUUGGGACUGAGAUACAGCCCAGACUCCUACGGGAGGCAGCAGUGGGGAAUAUUGCACAAUGGGCGCAAGCCUGAUGCAGCGACGCCGCGUGGGGGAUGACGGCCUUCGGGUUGUAAACUCCUUUCGCUAGGGACGAAGCUUUUGUGACGGUACCUAGAGAAGAAGCACCGGCUAACUACGUG
This 464-nucleotide ribosomal RNA is filed under the name uncultured bacterium. RNAcentral's name for it is "partial 16S ribosomal RNA". It matches the Rfam family "Bacterial small subunit ribosomal RNA", at positions 28 to 507 of the family's 1533-position model. The record is from RNAcentral.